This 467-nucleotide ribosomal RNA is filed under the name uncultured bacterium. RNAcentral describes it as "partial 16S ribosomal RNA". It matches the Rfam family "Bacterial small subunit ribosomal RNA", at positions 28 to 507 of the family's 1533-position model. The record is from RNAcentral.
GACGAACGCUGGCGGCGUGCUUAACACAUGCAAGUCGAACGGAAAGGCCCUGCUUUUGUGGGGUGCUCGAGUGGCGAACGGGUGAGUAACACGUGAGUAACCUGCCCUUGACUUUGGGAUAACUUCAGGAAACUGGGGCUAAUACCGGAUAGGAGCUCCUGCUGCAUGGUGGGGGUUGGAAAGUUUCGGCGGUUGGGGAUGGACUCGCGGCUUAUCAGCUUGUUGGUGGGGUAGUGGCUUACCAAGGCUUUGACGGGUAGCCGGCCUGAGAGGGUGACCGGCCACAUUGGGACUGAGAUACGGCCAGACUCCUACGGGAGGCAGCAGUGGGAAAUAUUGCACAAUGGGCGGAAGCCUGAUGCAGCAACGCCGCGUGCGGGAUGACGGCCUUCGGGUUGUAAACCGCUUUCGCCUGUGACGAAGCGUGAGUGACGGUAAUGGGUAAAGAAGCACCGGCUAACUACGUG